AGAGUUGAUCAUGGCUCAGGACGAACGCUGCGGCGUGCCUAACACAUGCAAGUCGAACGGGGCUGAUUCCUUCGGGGAUCAGCUAGUGGCGAACGGGUGAGUAACGCGUGAGAAACCUGCCUUUCAGUGGGGGACAACAGUUGGAAACGACUGCUAAUACCGCAUAAUGCAGCGAGGGGGCAUCCUCUUACUGCCAAAGCUUUAUGUGCUGAAAGAUGGUCUCGCGUCUGAUUAGCUAGUUGGUGGGGUAACGGCUCACCAAGGCGACGAUCAGUAGCCGGUCUGAGAGGAUGAACGGCCACAUUGGGACUGAGAUACGGCCCAGACUCCUACGGGAGGCAGCAGUGGGGAAUAUUGGGCAAUGGGGGAAACCCUGACCCAGCAACGCCGCGUGAAGGAAGAAGGCCUUCGGGUUGUAAACUUCUUUUAGCAGGGACGAARGACGUGACGGUACCUGCAGAAAAAACAACGGCUAACUACGUGCCAGCAGCCGCGGUAAUACGUAGGUUGCAAGCGUUGUCCGGAUUUACUGGGUGUAAAGGGCGUGUAGGCGGAGAUGCAAGUUGGGAGUGAAAUCCAUGGGCUCAACCCAUGAACUGCUUUCAAAACUGCAUCCCUUGAGUGUCGGAGAGGCAAGCGGAAUUCCUAGUGUAGCGGUGAAAUGCGUAGAUAUUAGGAGGAACACCAGUGGCGAAGGCGGCUUGCUGGACGAUAACUGACGCUGAGGCGCGAAAGCGUGGGGAGCUACAGGAUUAGAUACCCUGGUAGUCCACGCUGUAAAGGGCCCYCUAGGUGUGGGAGGACUGACCCCUUCCGUCCGCAGUUAACACAAUAAGUWUUCCACC
RNAcentral lists this ribosomal RNA (845 nucleotides) under uncultured Bacillota bacterium. RNAcentral describes it as "bacterial SSU rRNA". It matches the Rfam family "Bacterial small subunit ribosomal RNA", at positions 9 to 873 of the family's 1533-position model. Lineage: Bacteria; Bacillati; Bacillota. The record is from RNAcentral.